This is a long non-coding RNA of Callithrix jacchus (white-tufted-ear marmoset), 467 nucleotides long. RefSeq lists it as uncharacterized. NCBI's taxonomy places the organism in Eukaryota, Metazoa, Chordata, Mammalia, Primates, Cebidae. The record is from RefSeq and is a predicted model, not a curated record.
GAAAGCAGGACAACCCACAUGGCCAUUCCCUGUAACACAUGUUCAGCUAUUCUUGAAGAACCCAGAUGACAUGGGGUAGAUAAUGUGCUAAGGGCUGAAAAUUCAUGUCCACCUCAGGAAUAGAGAUGAAGCUGCAAUCAACUACCAGACUAGAGAAAAAAGAAAGAAAGGAAGAGAAAGAAAAGAAGAAAGAAAAAAAUAACAAAGAGAGAAAGAUGAAGAGAAAGAGGGAGAGAGAUAAACAGGCUAUUGUAUAAUACCUCAUGAAAACUGCUGUAAAAAGAUGAGCAGAGUGUGAUAGGUAAUGGAAGAGAACCUCCUCAUCAGGAAGAAAAAUAGAGGAUAUGAUGUCACUUCAUUUCCUCUAUGAAGUUAUAUCUAAACUGAUACCUAAAAGGUGCAUAAGACUUAGACAAAGAGUGUGAUGUAUAUGUGUGUGUUCAUAUCUGAGGAACUGCCAGAACUGA